Molecule: ribosomal RNA, 425 nt
Filed under: uncultured bacterium
Lineage: Bacteria
Description: partial 16S ribosomal RNA
Rfam family: Bacterial small subunit ribosomal RNA
Source: RNAcentral
GUGGGGAAUCUUAGACAAUGGGGGAAACCCUGAUCUAGCCAUGCCGCGUGAGCGAUGAAGGCCUUAGGGUUGUAAAGCUCUUUCAGCUGGGAAGAUAAUGACGGUACCAGCAGAAGAAGCCCCGGCUAACUCCGUGCCAGCAGCCGCGGUAAUACGGAGGGGGCUAGCGUUGUUCGGAAUUACUGGGCGUAAAGCGCGCGUAGGCGGACCAGAAAGUUGGAGGUGAAAUCCCAGGGCUCAACCUUGGAACUGCCUUCAAAACUCCUGGUCUGGAGUUCGAGAGAGGUGAGUGGAAUUCCGAGUGUAGAGGUGAAAUUCGUAGAUAUUCGGAGGAACACCAGUGGCGAAGGCGACUUACUGGACUGUAACUGACGCUGAGGCGCGAAAGUGUGGGGAGCAAACAGGAUUAGAAACCCGAGUAGUCC